This 538-nucleotide ribosomal RNA is filed under the name uncultured bacterium. RNAcentral's name for it is "bacterial LSU rRNA". It matches the Rfam family "Bacterial large subunit ribosomal RNA", at positions 2133 to 2672 of the family's 2925-position model. The record is from RNAcentral.
UUUGUGUAGGAUAGGUGGGAGGCUUUGAAGCGAGGACGCCAGUUCUCGUGGAGCCAUCCUUGAAAUACCACCUGAUGUUGUUGAGGUUCUAACCUAGGUCCGUAAUCCGGAUCGGGGACCGUGCAUGGUGGGCAGUUGACUGGGGCGGUCUCCUCCCAAAGAGUAACGGAGGAGUGCGAAGGUAACCUAGGUACGGUCGGAAAUCGUACUGAUAGUGCAAUGGCAUAAGGUUGCUUGACUGCGAGACGGACAGGUCGAGCAGGUGCGAAAGCAGGUCAUAGUGAUCCGGUGGUUCUGUAUGGAAGGGCCAUCGCUCAACGGAUAAAAGGUACUCUGGGGAUAACAGGCUGAUUCCUCCCAAGAGUUCAUAUCGACGGGGGAGUUUGGCACCUCGAUGUCGGCUCAUCACAUCCUGGGGCUGUAGCCGGUCCCAAGGGUAUGGCUGUUCGCCAUUUAAAGUGGUACGUGAGCUGGGUUUAAAACGUCGUGAGACAGUUUGGUCCCUAUCUGCCGUGGGCGUUGGAAGUUUGAGGGGGGC